RNAcentral lists this unclassified non-coding RNA (214 nucleotides) under uncultured Boletaceae. RNAcentral describes it as "sequence contains ITS1". The record is from RNAcentral. Lineage: Eukaryota; Fungi; Basidiomycota; Agaricomycetes; Boletales; Boletaceae.
CCGAACAGGAAGGGGAGAGGGAAGAUGGAGAGUCGAGGGACUGUCGCUGGCACUCUUCGUUCGGAGUGUGCAUGUGCACGUCUCUCAUCUUGACAUCGACCUUUUACCCAUCCACACCCCUUCACACCUGUGCACCUUUUGUAGGUCCUCGAAAGAGGAUCUAUGUCUUUAUCAUAUCACACCCGCCGUAUGUCUAGAAUGUCAUAAUAAAAUA